This is a long non-coding RNA of Manis pentadactyla (Chinese pangolin), 3716 nucleotides long. RefSeq lists it as uncharacterized. NCBI's taxonomy places the organism in Eukaryota, Metazoa, Chordata, Mammalia, Pholidota, Manidae. The transcript has 3 exons. The record is from RefSeq and is a predicted model, not a curated record.
AGCCUGAGAGUUAAAACCAUGCUGCCAGGCUGAUGGGGUCUCACCAGAAAGGUGGCCACUGGCUCUGGUUUCCCAAAGUGUAGACGCCUGAUCUUAGGGCCAGAUGAGUAGGGCCGUGGGGGCUAUUUCCUCCCUCUCCCCUGCUUUCCUCCUGAUGAGGAGGUCUAUAUUCCACAGUCUGAGCAGCUGAGCAACCUGACCUAAGGCCAGUGCUGCCCACCUCCGAGCCCAGGUCACCUCUCCCACUCAUGACUGCAAGCACCAUUUUCCCACGACUGGGAGAAAUAAAAGCUUUCCCUGGAAAAGGGAAGGUAGGUGAGGCCUGUUUUGAAGAUAAAUAUAACAUGCCAGAAACUGCUGGUGUGUUUAGAACCGUGCUAUUUCACAAGCCUCAUGACCUACCACCUUUACGUUGUCUGCUACUAAGAUGAUAGGGAAACAGAAACACAAAGUGGAGAAAGCAAAAAUCAAAGACCAUUCUAAACACAGCCAGGUUAUCAGGGCAUAAGUGGAUAAUGUCCUUACAGGUAUGUUAGAAUAUAUGGUGGUUACACGUGGUUAUACAUAUAUGGGGAGUGCAAAUGUGUGCAUGUAAAAAAGUCUUUGCAUUUGGAGAAACCAAUGCAUAUGUGUUUGUGACCAAUUGGUCCCCGAGUACCGAACAUAGUACCCAAGAUGUAGGACUCAUCACUUUUGUGCCAUCAGAACAAAUCAAAGUGGGUUUAGGGGAAGUAAGGAAGGUGUCUGUGCAUUGUAUGGUGUGUGUAGAGGGUCUGGGGAAUAGGUAUGUCUGGGGUGGGUAGGCAGGUGUGUCUGUGAAGUAACUGUAUAAAUAAUGCGUGGAUUACAGAUUAAGGGAGCAUGUGUGUAGGCAGAUGUGUGCGUGGGGUGAAUGCGGAUGCCCAACCCAGGGUGGAGACCCGGGAAGAUUAAGCCACAGGAGGGCAUCCCGCCAGGCCCUGGGCCUUGCAGUUGGCUAACUCACAGCCUCAAAAACAAAGACUAGCAACAUUUCAUGCCAGUUCCACUUUCAGUGACACCAGGCUCAAGCUUUUCCCACUCCAGGGAAACCUUAAUUUUUUUAGAGGACUAUAAAGGCAAUACAAAAGAAGCAUAAGAGAAACACAAAACGAGAGCAGAAACAUAAAUUUGCCUCUGGUCAAGAGGUAUUCAAAGGGCCAGCCCUGGGCAGAUCCACAUCUGUGUCCCUUCCCUGGGCCCCCGUGGCAUUUCGGUCGCUCCCCGCCAGGUGACCAGGGCCGGGAGAGGACACGGGCCAUCCUGCAGCCGCCGGGGCUCGGUGCCUGGCAGGACGGGCUCCGGCCCGAGUUCCCUGAGAUGAGGGCCUGGGGGUUGCGGCCGCCUUCCCCGGUGCACUCCCUCGCCGGACGGAGCACCUAAGGCCCCGAGCAGGGCGGUUCCGUACUAGGGACGCGAGGGUGGUCAAACCGGGCGCCUGGCCGAGCUUGGCCUCGUCCCUGAAGCCCGGGUCCUCAGGCGCAGACGGCCAUCCCCGACGGGGUCACCUCCCACUCUCGUCUGCCGAGCCCGCAACGCGCAUGCGCCGCCGCUCGUGGCCAGGGCUGUGGGCCUGGCCCCGCCCCCUCCGGCCGCGCGCUCCGGGUCACGCUCCCGGGCUCGCGCCUGCGCAGGCGCGCGGCGGCCCUUCCCGGGAACUUCCGCGCGGAGCCGGCUGAGGUCGCCGAGGUCGCCCCAGUCGAGGCCACCCGCGGGCUGUUCCAACGCCGCAAGCCCAGAGGGUCUGACAGUUUUGAUUUGGGACCGGGAAUCAGUUGUGAUUCACUUCUCUCAAAUGAGGGAAGGAAAGGAGAGAGACUGCUGGCACAGGCCACAUUUCUGGAGGCAUUUGAGGGAAGUGAAGAACGUUGGAGACAAACUGGUGCUGGCAGGUAUUACGUUGUGUGUUCACCCGCGCCAGCCCUCAGGUGAACCAGGAACCGAGCCAUUUUACGAAGUGGUCCUACCUCGCCUAUCUCGCCCGGAGCUCUUAGACGCUGGAAUCCAAACUGCCCUCCCCUCCCGGCCUCUAGGGCAGAACCCCAGCCAGCCUUUGGGCCACUGAGCCCACCCUCGUGAGGGUAACACCGAGGAAUGGAUGUUUCUUGACAACCCAGCCUGAUUAAAUAGUAAAAGGAAAGAAAAGAAAAUCAACUCCAAGUGUUUUGGAGCAGGAGGCUUUUUCCCUCGAGCUGGACCUCCAUUGUGCUAGAAAUGGAAUGCUGGCCUUCGCAUUCUAAAACUUCCAGCUCAGUGACUUCUGCUCUGUACUUGUCCUGUCUUGGCAUUUAAUGUAACUGGAAGAAAGAAUGUGUGCAACUGUAUAAUGUUAGAGCAAUCAGCCAGUAGGAGGAGUGGGCGUAACUUCUGUUCCCGGUGGGAAGCCUGUUCAUAAAGAAGAGAGAAGCCCCUGACAGCUGAAAGCCCCUCUGCCUUGUCCCCAGGCCAUUUUCCCCGUGAACUGGCAAACGCAGUCUGUGCAGCCACCCUGUGUGCACCAGCCUUGCUCCCCGAUGAGAGCUUCUGGUGGGGACGACAUCCACGUGGCAGAAGGCUGUGAGCGGGGCCCUGGGUGAAGCCAGCUGCUGCGGCCGCCUUUCAGACCUCUCUCUGCAGGGAGCUGUUCUUUCCUGACAGCGUCUACCUUCAGAAUCACCUGAGCCUCAGCAGUGCACCAGGUUUUCACUUUGCAGCACCGCACAUUCCAAAUCCCCGUGCAGGGAGGCCUCGCCCAGAUUCCAGAUGAGCGCCUCAGCAGCCCUGGCUCCUCCCGUACACCUUCCCCGGCUUCUGAGUGUUUGUGCCUCGUGACUUUGAGCUGUGGAGGCAUCAGGCAGGGACGUGCCUGUGUUUGCACCUGACAACACCGGUCUGGGAGGAGAGGUAGGUUUCUUCCUCAUCCCAAGCACAUUUUUGCAGCUGUCCUGGUUCUGCCGCCAGAAGCAGUUACAACAGAGGGAGUUCGCCCAUGGGCUUUGGGCCGAGCCUCUUCUGCAAGGGUAGCUCCAGGUGCCCCCCCAAGCUGCCUCACGAACCUUUCAAAGGCUUCCGAGCCUCCUCUUAGCAUGGCCCACCCUGACUGUCCUGCUUAAUUGCUUCACGUCCCCUCUACACUGCAGCCCAGGUGGACUGCUCGACCUCCCACCACAGCCCAACCACUCGGGCUCUGUCUGGGCCGUUUGUCCUUGUGGUGCCUGGCCACUCAUCCUGCUGGCCCCUGUGUGUUAGUGUUCUCCAGAGAAACAGAACCAACAGGGUAUGUAUACAGUAGAUAGAGAAUAGACAGAUAAUUUAGGUGGGUGAUUUAGAUAAACAGAUGCAGAUCUUUCCAUAGAUACCAGUAUCUGUAUCUAUCCCUCCCUCCCUCCCUCCAUCCAUGCAUCCACCCAUCUACAGAGAUUUAUUUUAAGGAACUGGUGUGCAUGAUUGUGGCACCUGGUAAAUCUGAUAUCUUCAGGGCAGGGGGCAGGCUGGACCCCUAGGGAGAGUUGACAUUGAGCCCAAAUGGGCACCUUUCGGUCAAGUGCAGUUAACCCUUUACACCACAGUGCUGGGUGCACCCUCCCCCGCACCUGGUGGGUGCUUGCGGCUUUCUCUGACCCUUCAGCCCAUGCCCUUUCUCUGUUCUCCAUGCCUGCCCUGCAGGCCCCUUUUUCCCUGACCCGCUAAUUCUUCUCCUCCCCUGAUGGUGCUUACUU